This 139-nucleotide small RNA is filed under the name Salmonella enterica subsp. enterica serovar Dublin str. CT_02021853. RNAcentral describes it as "t44 RNA". The stretch from base 52 to 138 matches the Rfam family "t44 RNA". Rfam says of the family: This family consists of a number of bacterial RNA genes of between 135 and 170 bases in length. The t44 gene is found between the map and rpsB genes in all species in the full alignment apart from Shigella flexneri. Lineage: Bacteria; Pseudomonadati; Pseudomonadota; Gammaproteobacteria; Enterobacterales; Enterobacteriaceae. RNAcentral also lists the same sequence under 2 other names. The record is from RNAcentral.
CGGACUUCCGAUCCAUUCGAAGACUACACACAAUGGACGGGAGCGACAAAUCUCACUUUGUGUAACAACACACACGUAUCGGCACAUAUUCCGGGGUGCCCUUUGGGGUCGGUAAUAUGGGAUACGUGGAGGCAUAACC